Bos taurus (domestic cattle) is the source of this 82-nucleotide non-coding RNA. The record is from Rfam. Lineage: Eukaryota; Metazoa; Chordata; Mammalia; Artiodactyla; Bovidae.
AUGGAGACAUGGCCUAAAGCCAGAGACAGUGAGACACGUGAACAUUUUAGGCUGUCACUUGAAUCGAUUCACAUCUCAUUUU